This is a non-coding RNA of Trichodesmium erythraeum IMS101, 80 nucleotides long. The record is from Rfam. Lineage: Bacteria; Bacillati; Cyanobacteriota; Cyanophyceae; Oscillatoriales; Microcoleaceae.
GGGAGCCGUGAUGAGGUGAAAGUCUCACGUCCGGUUCUGAAGACGAGUUGAAUGAGGUAACUCAUUUGGCUUAGUUUAAC